RNAcentral lists this ribosomal RNA (686 nucleotides) under uncultured bacterium. Its description in RNAcentral is "bacterial SSU rRNA". It matches the Rfam family "Bacterial small subunit ribosomal RNA", at positions 32 to 715 of the family's 1533-position model. The record is from RNAcentral.
AACGCUAGCUACAGGCUUAACACAUGCAAGUCGAGGGGCAUCAGGGUAGCAAUACCGCUGGCGACCGGCGCACGGGUGAGUAACACGUAUCCAACCUACCGUUAACUCGGGGAUAGCCUUUCGAAAGAAAGAUUAAUACCCGAUAGUAUAUUUUCUUCGCAUGUUGAAAAUAUUAAAGAAUUUCGGUUAUCGAUGGGGAUGCGUUCCAUUAGGCAGUUGGCGGGGUAACGGCCCACCAAACCUACGAUGGAUAGGGGUUCUGAGAGGAAGGUCCCCCACAUUGGAACUGAGACACGGUCCAAACUCCUACGGGAGGCAGCAGUGAGGAAUAUUGGUCAAUGGACGAAGGUCUGAACCAGCCAAGUAGCGUGAAGGAUGACUGCCCUAUGGGUUGUAAACUUCUUUUAUAUGGGAAUAAAGUUCUCCACGUGUGGAGUUUUGUAUGUACCAUUAUGAAUAAGCAUCGGCUAACUCCGUGCCAGCAGCCGCGGUAAUACGGAGGAUGCGAGCGUUAUCCGGAUUUAUUGGGUUUAAAGGGAGCGUAGGUGGACUGGUAAGUCAGUUGUGAAAGUUUGCGGCUCAACCGUAAAAUCGCAGUUGAUACUGUCAGUCUUGAGUACAGUAGAGGUGGGCGGAAUUCGUGGUGUAGCGGUGAAAUGCUUAGAUAUCACGAAGAACUCCGAUUG